This 440-nucleotide ribosomal RNA is filed under the name uncultured Pseudomonas sp. RNAcentral's name for it is "bacterial SSU rRNA". It matches the Rfam family "Bacterial small subunit ribosomal RNA", at positions 358 to 790 of the family's 1533-position model. The record is from RNAcentral. Lineage: Bacteria; Pseudomonadati; Pseudomonadota; Gammaproteobacteria; Pseudomonadales; Pseudomonadaceae.
GGAAUAUUGGACAAUGGGCGAAAGCCUGAUCCAGCCAUGCCGCGUGUGUGAAGAAGGUCUUCGGAUUGUAAAGCACUUUAAGUUGGGAGGAAGGGCAUUAACCUAAUACGUUAGUGUUUUGACGUUACCGACAGAAUAAGCACCGGCUAACUCUGUGCCAGCAGCCGCGGUAAUACAGAGGGUGCAAGCGUUAAUCGGAAUUACUGGGCGUAAAGCGCGCGUAGGUGGUUUGUUAAGUUGAAUGUGAAAGCCCCGGGCUCAACCUGGGAACUGCAUCCAAAACUGGCAAGCUAGAGUAGGGCAGAGGGUGGUGGAAUUUCCUGUGUAGCGGUGAAAUGCGUAGAUAUAGGAAGGAACACCAGUGGCGAAGGCGACCACCUGGGCUCAUACUGACACUGAGGUGCGAAAGCGUGGGGAGCAAACAGGAUUAGAUACCCUUG